CCUGAAGAUACCUUCCGGCGAAGUGUCCACACAGAUUGUCUGAUAGAAGUAACGAGCAAAGUCACACCAGAGUCCCCAUCGUCUAGAGGCCCAGGACACUGCCCUUUCACGGCUGUAACAGGGGUUCGAAUCCCCUUGGGGACGCCAUACCGGUAACGAAGUGAAAGACGUUAUCACCCGUAUCUCAAAACUGAUUCCGCGAAAGCGAGUCACGUUUGAGAUAUUUGCUCUUUAACAAUCCGGAACAAGCUGAAAAUUGAAACGACAUGUCGUGUUCAUUCUCCGUAAUCAGAAUGAAGCCACGAUAUGUUCGAGUCUCUCAAUGCCUGCAACCGACACACGUCUUUCGGGACGCUUGUGGGUUGUGA
Molecule: unclassified non-coding RNA, 368 nt
Filed under: Erwinia amylovora
Lineage: Bacteria; Pseudomonadati; Pseudomonadota; Gammaproteobacteria; Enterobacterales; Erwiniaceae
Description: 16S-23S ribosomal RNA intergenic spacer
Rfam family: tRNA (bases 72-144)
Source: RNAcentral